CCGAGGAGCGGCGACAAGAGCAGGUGCAAAGUACUGCUGACCAUGCCUCUCAGAGGACCAAUCCCAAAUUUCGAAUUCAAGAGCGGAUUCGGGACGCCGAAGCGCGAGCAACUCAUCGCGAGGACCCAGAAGAACGUGCAAGGGAACAGGAAAGGAACACUGGAGAGCACCGACAGCGACGAAGGGAUGCGGAAAACAUGCAGCAAGAACGGGAAAGGGACGCCGAUUACAGGAGAGAAACCAGGAGAAACCCCAUCGCAAGAACCCAGGAGCAACGGAUAAACACAUCACAACGCCGGGAAACACGACAACAGAGGAGGAUUCGGGAAGAACAAAUUCGACAAAUGGCAGAGGAUCGAUUAAUAAACUUCAGGAUGGACCCCUAAAAUCGACUAGAUGCCUCCCAAAGGCAGUCUCAACGAAACAUGGACGCAAGAGCUCGGAGGAAGAACUGGAAUAGGAACGAGAACAACAGCGAAAUAGGAUUCGAGUAUCAGCGAGGGAUCUUUAUCACAGGAACAUAAAGGAAGGACCAACGGAAAUUUGUAUUUGCUGUGGAGGAACCUGGUUCCGUACGCAGCAAGGACCGAAGAAGGACUAGUCAAGCCUGUGGUGAUUAUAACUUCCGAUGGUGGCCCUGAUGAAAAUCCCAGGUAUGGGAAGGUUAUUUCCCAUGCAUUACAAUACUUUAAGGCAUACAAUUUAGAUGCAACUUUUGUUGUCACAAAUGCUCCAGGAAUAAGUGCUUUAUACAAGUCGAAAGGAGAAUGGCCCCACUAAGCCGGGAAUUGUCUGGCUUGAUUUUGUCGCACGACAUGUUUGGAAGCCAUUUGAAUAACCAAGGCAGAAGGCAGAAAUUUUGUAUUCUCUGGGGGAACAUUGGCCAAUGUUUGGGGCAGCAGGGUUCUCGAUGACUUUCCUGUAACUGCCAAAUAUUGUCUACCUAAAGAAGAAGAGGCAGAACUGGAUGACAUAGAUCAGUACAUGUUCGAAAGAGUCAAUAUUUUCUGCAGAUUGUGAAAUGUCGUUCUGAAGAAUGUUGUGGAGAAUUUAGAACUACUACUGGACUACUUCAAAUUCUACCUGGUAGAUUAUUUCCUCCUCCUCCUCCUCCAAUACGUGUUGUUCAGGAUGUCUCUGAAAUAAUCGUUUCCGAGAACAUUUCUGGAUCAAUAAAUAAACACAACAAAUAUUUGCAGAUUCCCUUCGACUUGAAUUGUCCGUCGGUGUCCGUCGGUUAAGCCAACUUAAAAAACGCAUGAAAAACGUGUGGGUUGUAUUUUGCAUCACAAAAAUCAGCUACUCGGCACGCAAUAAUUCACA
This is a non-coding RNA of Drosophila bipectinata, 1323 nucleotides long. NCBI's taxonomy places the organism in Eukaryota, Metazoa, Arthropoda, Insecta, Diptera, Drosophilidae. The record is from RefSeq and is a predicted model, not a curated record.